AGGACGAACGCUGGCGGCGUGCUUAACACAUGCAAGUCAAGGGGGCCCAGCAAUGGGCAACCGGCGAACGGGUGCGUAACACGUGAGCAACCUACCGAAAUGUGGGGGAUAGCCGGCCUAACGGCCGAGUAAUACCGCAUACGCUCUCGAUGAGGCAUUUCAUUGAGAGGAAACCUACGGGACAUUUCGAGGGGCUCGCGGCCUAUCAGCUAGUUGGCGAGGUAACGGCUCA
Molecule: ribosomal RNA, 232 nt
Filed under: uncultured soil bacterium
Lineage: Bacteria
Description: partial 16S ribosomal RNA
Rfam family: Bacterial small subunit ribosomal RNA
Source: RNAcentral